Canis lupus familiaris (dog) is the source of this 1402-nucleotide long non-coding RNA. RefSeq lists it as uncharacterized. The record is from RefSeq and is a predicted model, not a curated record. The transcript has 3 exons. Lineage: Eukaryota; Metazoa; Chordata; Mammalia; Carnivora; Canidae.
GAUGCAUCAAAUAACCCCUGUCUUGGACCUUCUUCAUUCCAGAAGGAUUCUGAGUGAUGCAGUGCCUCUUGACAACUCACCAAGACCCUGGAAUCAGGCCAGAGGGAGGUUCCAAGCACCCCGUAGAUGAAGCUGAAAUCCUGAAACUGUUUCCUCCCUGGAAAGGAGGAGGAACCAUUUCAGGACAAGAACAUUUUCACCAGGAAAGCCCGGCCAGGCCAAGGGAAUUCCAGUCUGGUUUGAACCUCAAAAUCUCCCUACCUGGGACUUUCCAGUGGGCAGGACAUUUUCCAUCUCAACUGCCAGCUGGUCCAAGAGAGGAAGCUUGGAGAGUACUUUGAAUGUAGAGUUCUCAAGAUGAUAUAUGUGUGGCACCACCCUGAUCCCUGGGCUGCGUUCUGUGCCAGGAAUGAUGGAUGCACUUGUGGAAAAAGACACACUGUUCUUGUCCUCAUGGACCUUACAGUCUCAUGGGGAGAAGGACCUUAAGGGAGUCACCACACAUGUAAUUCAAGUCAUUACAAGUUGGGAUGAGUACAGGGAAGGAUGCAAAUGGUGCUCAAGUUAGCGAACAACAGGGAUGGGAGAACUUGGAUUUGACUUUGAUCAACCGGACACACACACCUGGUUAAAACAAAGCAAACACUACGGAAAAACUUGUAGUAAAAAAAGAGCAGAAUCCUUUUCUCCACUUUUCCCACCUUCGGUCCCACAAAGCCUCCACUUUUAACAUUUCUCUUUUUAAUUCUUCUGAUGUUUGAGCUCCAUUUUUCUAAAUGACUUCCCUCUGUCCUCUUUUCUUGAUUUAUCAAAUGAGAUAUCCAUCUACUGGAUUUCUACUAUGAUAGUUGAGAAUGCAGUGCUCAAUGAUGCACAUACUUCCAUGUUUCCAUGCCUCCCAAUAGAGGUAUAUAGUAUUGUAGUUAGAGUACUAGUUGCCUCUGGAACAUUGAAAAAUGUAGACAAACCCUUAUAUAUUAUUCUGUCAACCAUAGACAGCAUCUUUUGACUCCACACUUUCAUAAAAUGGAACUAUCCAAGUCUGUACUGUGCCCUACACCUCUUUCUGCUCUUCUACCUCUGGUUUCUGUGUAACUACUUACACAUUGUCAAGGUCUAUGGCAUUGACAUUGUCGUUUAUAACUCUGAUAACACCUCCUGUGCUUUGUUCAUAGGUGGACUCAAAAAGUUGACAACCAGUAAGCAAUGUUUAUAUUAUCAUGACCUUGUAAAUAAAAUUCCCUGAUGACAGGGAUGUGUUAUCAUUGUCAUGGGCCUUAGGCACUUUUGUGUUGGUGGUCCCUUCCUUCAUAAAAAAAGAUCAAAAAUCAUAUUUUAUGGCUUAUUACUAUAAAGUGAAAUGUAUUAAUAUUAUAUAUUAGAGUAUUUUCUUUGACCUAAA